Molecule: ribosomal RNA, 248 nt
Filed under: uncultured bacterium
Lineage: Bacteria
Description: partial 16S ribosomal RNA
Rfam family: Bacterial small subunit ribosomal RNA
Source: RNAcentral
AUACGGAAAAGUGCAAGCGUUAAUCGGAGUCACUGGGCGUAAAGCGCACGUAGGCUGUUUGGUAAGUCAGGGGUGAAAUCCCGCAGCUCAACUGCGGAAUUGCCCUUGAUACUGCUGGACUUGAGUUCGGGAGAGGGUGGCGGAAUUCCAGGUGUAGGAGUGAAAUCCGUAGAUAUCUGGAGGAACAUCAGUGGCGAAGGCGGCCACCUGGACCGAUACUGACGCUGAGGUGCGAAAGCGUGGGGAGC